UACGUAGGGGGCAAGCGUUGUCCGGAAUCAUUGGGCGUAAAGAGCGCGUAGGCGGCCCAGUAAGUCCGCUCUGAAAGUCAGGGGCUCAACCCCUGGAUGCGGGUGGAUACUGCUGGGCUAGAGUCCGGAAGAGGAGAGUGGAAUUCCUGGUGUAGCGGUGAAAUGCGCAGAUAUCAGGAAGAACACCCGUGGCUAAGGCGGCUCUCUAGUACGGUACUGACGCUGAGACGCGAAAGCGUGGGGAGCGAACAGG
Molecule: ribosomal RNA, 253 nt
Filed under: uncultured bacterium
Lineage: Bacteria
Description: partial 16S ribosomal RNA
Rfam family: Bacterial small subunit ribosomal RNA
Source: RNAcentral